Molecule: non-coding RNA, 308 nt
Organism: Paramuricea clavata
Lineage: Eukaryota; Metazoa; Cnidaria; Anthozoa; Malacalcyonacea; Plexauridae
Source: the annotation of a GenBank genome assembly
UGUCAUACGAAGCUGACGUCUUAAACAAGAAUGUCAACAAAAUAGAUUUUGUCUCUCCAUUGGCUGAUUGUUCAGUUGUUCUGCAGUAGGGGUGGCCUUGAAGGUGCCAUUAAAAUGAUAAUUGGGACAAAAACUGACUUACUGGUAGUAUUUCUAUGUAUGAAAUUGUUAUUAAAUUCUACAUAUCCAAUGAUUCAUUCAAGUAUUAUUAUCAUUUGUUAUCUAUGAUAUUGGACAGUAUUCAGUGGCAAGCUAGCCAUGACAAAUGGUCAUGGUAUGCUAAUAACCUGCAUCUAUUUGAAUAAUGC